GCAUAGGAAUCUACCUAGUAGUAUGGGAUAGCCACUAGAAAUGGUGGGUAAUACUGUAUAAUCCCUGCGGGGGAAAGAUUUAUCGCUAUUAGAUGAGCCUAUGUUAGAUUAGCUAGUUGGUAGGGUAAAGGCCUACCAAGGCAAUGAUCUAUAGCUGGUCUGAGAGGAUGAUCAGCCACACUGGAACUGAGAUACGGUCCAGACUCCUACGGGAGGCAGCAGUGGGGAAUAUUGGACAAUGGGCGCAAGCCUGAUCCAGCUAUGCCGCGUGAGUGAGGAAGGCCUUAGGGUUGUAAAACUCUUUCAGUGGGGAAGAUAAUGACGGUACCCACAGAAGAAGUCCCGGCAAACUCCGUGCCAGCAGCCGCGGUAAUACGGAGGGGGCAAGCGUUGUUCGGAAUUAUUGGGCGUAAAGGGCAUGUAGGCGGUUUGGUAAGUUAAAGGUGAAAUGCCAGGGCUUAACCCUGGAGCUGCUUUUAAUACUGCCAGACUGG
This 494-nucleotide ribosomal RNA is filed under the name Anaplasma bovis. Its description in RNAcentral is "bacterial SSU rRNA". It matches the Rfam family "Bacterial small subunit ribosomal RNA", at positions 115 to 644 of the family's 1533-position model. The record is from RNAcentral. Lineage: Bacteria; Pseudomonadati; Pseudomonadota; Alphaproteobacteria; Rickettsiales; Anaplasmataceae.